CACGUAGGGGACGAGCGUUGUCCGGAUUCAUUGGGCGUAAAGCGCGCGUAGGCGGCUCGGAAAGUCGGUCGUGAAAUGCCGGGGCUCAACCCCGGGACUGCGUCCGAUACUCCCGAGCUGGAGGCAGGUAGGGGAGAUCGGAAUUCCUGGUGUAGCGGUGAAAUGCGCAGAUAUCAGGAGGAACACCGGUGGCGAAGGCGGAUCUCUGGGCCUGUCCUGACGCUCAGGCGCGAAAGCUAGGGGAGCAAACAGG
Molecule: ribosomal RNA, 253 nt
Filed under: uncultured bacterium
Lineage: Bacteria
Description: partial 16S ribosomal RNA
Rfam family: Bacterial small subunit ribosomal RNA
Source: RNAcentral